CCCAGUGGGUCUGGCUUGAGAUGGGACAAUGCUAUAGCAAGAAAUCUGUGGUCCCAGAGUCUGACACCUCAGAGAGAAGCAGCAUGACGUCUGGAAGUUCAGAGUCAGAUAUACCACAAGAAAACAAAGUAUCGAAAGCGUCCCUGGAUACUGGACAGAUGGCGUUUACCUUGGCCCAACUUGAGUCCUUGGAGAUUUGCCUGAAAGAAGCAGAAGAAAAGGCUAAAGCUUUAUCUGAACAGGU
Molecule: long non-coding RNA, 244 nt
Filed under: Homo sapiens (human)
Lineage: Eukaryota; Metazoa; Chordata; Mammalia; Primates; Hominidae
Description: HSALNT0094146
Source: RNAcentral